UGGCUCAGGAUGAACGCUGGCGGCGUGCCUAAUACAUGCAAGUCGAGCGAGAACUCAGAAGUGCGAUUAUCAAGACAGAAGAAGGGAAAGCGGCGGACGGGUGAGUAACGCGUAGGCAACCUGCCCCUGGCAGAGGGAUAGCCAUUGGAAACGAUGAUUAAAACCUCAUAACGCCGGAAGCACACAUGUGCUACCGGCCAAAGAUUUAUCGGCUGGGGAUGGGCCUGCGUCUGAUUAACUGGUUGGUGAGGUAACGGCUCACCAAGGUAACGAUCAGUAGCCGACCCGAGAGGGUGAUCGGCCACAUUGGAACUGAGACACGGUCCAAACUUCUACGGAAGGCAGCAGUAAGGAAUCUUGCACAAUGGGGGAAACCCUGAUGCAGCAACGCCGCGUGAACGAUGAAGGCCUUCGGGUUGUAAAGUUCUGAUCUUGGGGAAGAAGGAAGUGACGGUACCCAAGGAGAAAGCCCCGGCUAAAUACGUGCCAGCCGCCGC
RNAcentral lists this ribosomal RNA (497 nucleotides) under uncultured bacterium. Its description in RNAcentral is "bacterial SSU rRNA". It matches the Rfam family "Bacterial small subunit ribosomal RNA", at positions 20 to 518 of the family's 1533-position model. The record is from RNAcentral.